RNAcentral lists this ribosomal RNA (253 nucleotides) under uncultured bacterium. Its description in RNAcentral is "partial 16S ribosomal RNA". It matches the Rfam family "Bacterial small subunit ribosomal RNA", at positions 524 to 776 of the family's 1533-position model. The record is from RNAcentral.
UACGUAGGGACCGAGCGUUGUCCGGAUUCAUUGGGCGUAAAGAGCUCGUAGGCGGCCACUCAAGUCGAAUGUGAAACCUCGAGGCUUAACCUCGAGCCUGCAUUCGAUACUGGGUGGCUAGAGUCUGGUAGGGGGAUCUGGAAUUCCUGGUGUAGCGGUGGAAUGCGCAGAUAUCAGGAGGAACACCGGUGGCGAAGGCGGGAUCCUGGGCCAGUACUGACGCUGAGGAGCGAAAGCGUGGGGAGCGAUCCGG